GACGAACGCUGGCGGCGUGCCUAAUACAUGCAAGUCGAGCGGACUGAUUAAGAGCUUGCUCUUAUGACGUUAGCGGCGGACGGGUGAGUAACACGUGGGCAACCUGCCCUGUAGAUCGGGAUAACACCGAGAAAUCGGUGCUAAUACCGGGUAAUGUCUGAGAUCACAUGAUCUUAGGUUAAAAGAUGGCUCCGGCUAUCACUACAGGAUGGGCCCGCGGCGCAUUAGCUAGUUGGUAAGGUAAUGGCUUACCAAGGCGACGAUGCGUAGCCGACCUGAGAGGGUGAUCGGCCACACUGGGACUGAGACACGGCCCAGACUCCUACGGGGGGCAGCAGUAGGGAAUCUUCCGCAAUGGACGAAAGUCUGACGGAGCAACGCCGCGUGAGUGAUGAAGGGUUUCGGCUCGUAAAGCUCUGUUGUUAGGGAAGAAACAGUACCGAACGAACUAGGUCGGUACCUUGACGGUACCUAACCAGAAAGCCACGGCUAACUACGUG
RNAcentral lists this ribosomal RNA (500 nucleotides) under uncultured bacterium. RNAcentral describes it as "partial 16S ribosomal RNA". It matches the Rfam family "Bacterial small subunit ribosomal RNA", at positions 28 to 507 of the family's 1533-position model. The record is from RNAcentral.